Molecule: long non-coding RNA, 322 nt
Filed under: Nicotiana benthamiana
Lineage: Eukaryota; Viridiplantae; Streptophyta; Magnoliopsida; Solanales; Solanaceae
Description: long non-coding RNA (NBEN_LNC024440)
Source: RNAcentral
CACGCGGGAAUCCAUCGUCUGUAGGAUUCUUUUAUAGAAAUCGCAAAAAAGGUAUGUUGCUGCCAUUUUGAAAGGAUUAAAAAGCACCGAAGUAAUGUCUAAACCUAAUGAUUUAAAAUAAAACAAAGAUAAAGGAUCCCGGAACAAGGAAACACCUUUUUAUUGUCUUAAUAACUGAAUCGAACUGAAGAAUCCAAAUAUCGAUAUACAUAGAGAUUCACCGACUACAUUUCAGCCAUCCAACGAUCCUGAUCUAUUUGAAAAUUGCUAGAAUUGAUAUAUCAAUGUAUCAUAUUUCUGCAGGCAUAAGAGUUUUUCCUUU